Molecule: non-coding RNA, 21 nt
Filed under: Arabidopsis thaliana (thale cress)
Lineage: Eukaryota; Viridiplantae; Streptophyta; Magnoliopsida; Brassicales; Brassicaceae
Source: RNAcentral
GAGUUAUCGACUGCCACGUCA